Long non-coding RNA from Mesocricetus auratus (golden hamster), 711 nucleotides. RefSeq lists it as uncharacterized. The transcript is spliced from 3 exons. NCBI's taxonomy places the organism in Eukaryota, Metazoa, Chordata, Mammalia, Rodentia, Cricetidae. The record is from RefSeq and is a predicted model, not a curated record.
AUUAAUACAGCAUCUUGUGUGUUAUUUGGGGACUACAAGGCAGCAGAGCCCAGGCGACUGGUGGGGAAAAACCAAAGCGGCUGGCGAGGAAAAGGCUUCAUUCAACACUAUUGCUUCUUGAGUUUUAUGCACUUGCGACUUGACCAUACCAGAUGUAUUUCUUCCUUGGCAUAACAUCACAUCUCUAACCAAGCUACACAGACAAGGCCGAAUGUUCACUUCAGGUGUAGUAUUUACAAUACUACAAGGUAUUUAACAAGAUAGUCUUAAGUUUCUAGGCAAUGGCAACCAUGAAAGCGGUACUGAGAGCCCCAUGACUUGCAUGCAAGAGAGCAUAUGAGCGGUGCCAAGUUCAAUAAAUUGAGCUAUCAUGAAUAAGCAUCUAACGGGAGGGAGGAGCGCCAGCAGUAAGCAAGCAACUGUACACACCUACACAUCCUAACGGACUGGAAGCCUGCUCUUGUCGCUAAAUGCAGAGGAGGGUGUUCUGAACAUAUUAAAGAGAAACAAUAUGGUGGCUAUAUGAUCUGACCUAUUAACACAACACCUUGAAAUGUGUUUUCCGGGUUUCCUCCCUUCUCUGAAUUUUUCCGAGAUCGUCAGUGAUGUCCCACAGAAAGUAGAUCUGUCAGACCCGAAGAACAUUUCUGUCUGCCCCCACACACAAUUUUCAACCAAGGCAAGGAUAUGAAUUGUACAAGCUAAAGUGAG